GACGAACGCUGGCGGCGUGCUUAACACAUGCAAGUCGAGCGAGGCCCCUCCUUCGGGAGGGUGUCCUAGCGGCGAACGGGUGAGUAACACGUGGGCAACCUGCCCUCAGCUCUGGGAUAACUCCGGGAAACCGGGGCUAAUACCGGAUACGACCUCCACGGGCAUCUGCGGAGGUGGAAAGUUUUUCGGCUGAGGAUGGGCCCGCGGCCUAUCAGCUAGUUGGUGGGGUAGUGGCCCACCAAGGCGACGACGGGUAGCCGGCCUGAGAGGGCGACCGGCCACACUGGGACUGAGACACGGCCCAGACUCCUACGGGAGGCAGCAGUGGGGAAUAUUGCGCAAUGGGCGAAAGCCUGACGCAGCGACGCCGCGUGGGGGACGAAGGCCUUCGGGUUGUAAACCUCUUUCAGCAGGGACGAAGCGAAAGUGACGGUACCUGCAGAAGAAGCACCGGCCAACUACGUG
RNAcentral lists this ribosomal RNA (465 nucleotides) under uncultured bacterium. RNAcentral describes it as "partial 16S ribosomal RNA". It matches the Rfam family "Bacterial small subunit ribosomal RNA", at positions 28 to 507 of the family's 1533-position model. The record is from RNAcentral.